RNAcentral lists this ribosomal RNA (263 nucleotides) under uncultured Acholeplasma sp. RNAcentral's name for it is "partial 16S ribosomal RNA". It matches the Rfam family "Bacterial small subunit ribosomal RNA", at positions 1122 to 1382 of the family's 1533-position model. The record is from RNAcentral. Lineage: Bacteria; Bacillati; Mycoplasmatota; Mollicutes; Acholeplasmatales; Acholeplasmataceae.
UCAUUAAGUUUGGGGACGUCUAGCGAGACUGCCAGUGAUAAACUAGGAGGAAGGUGGGGAUGACGUCAAAUCAUCAUGCCCCUUAUGACCUGGGCUACAAACGUGAUACAAUGGCUGGAACAAAGGGAUGCGAAGCAGUGAUGUGGAGCGAAACCCAUAAAAACAGUCUCAGUUCGGAUUGAAGUCUGCAACUCGACUUCAUGAAGUCGGAAUCGCUAGUAAUCGCGGAUCAGAACGCCGCGGUGAAUACGUUCUCGGGGUUU